This 606-nucleotide ribosomal RNA is filed under the name Rhodotorula sphaerocarpa. RNAcentral's name for it is "eukaryotic LSU rRNA". It matches the Rfam family "Eukaryotic large subunit ribosomal RNA", at positions 37 to 657 of the family's 3401-position model. Lineage: Eukaryota; Fungi; Basidiomycota; Microbotryomycetes; Sporidiobolales; Sporidiobolaceae. The record is from RNAcentral.
UGCAUAUCCAAAAAGCGGAGGAAAAGAAACUAACAAGGAUUCCCCUAGUAGCGGCGAGCGAAGCGGGAAGAGCUCAAAUUUAUAAUCUGGCACCUUCGGUGUCCGAGUUGUAAUCUCUAGAAGUGUUUUCCGCGUUGGACCGCGCAUAAGUCUGUUGGAAUACAGCGGCACAGUGGUGAGACCCCCGUAUGUGGUGCGGANGCCCAGCGCUUUGUGAUACACUUUCGAAGAGUCGAGUUGUUUGGGAAUGCAGCUCAAAUUGGGUGGUAAAUUCCAUCUAAAGCUAAAUAUUGGCGAGAGACCGAUAGCGAACAAGUACCGUGAGGGAAAGAUGAAAAGCACUUUGGAAAGAGAGUUAACAGUACGUGAAAUUGUUGGAAGGGAAACGCUUGAAGUCAGACUUGCUUGCCGGGCAACCGGUUUGCAGGCCAGCAUCAGUUUUCCGGGGUGGAUAAUGGUAGAGAGAAGGUAGCAGUUUCGGCUGUGUUAUAGCUCUCUACUGGAUACACCUUGGGGGACUGAGGAACGCAGUGUGCCUUACGGCGGAGGUUUCGACCUCUUCACACUUAGGAUGCUGGUGGAAUGGCUUUAAACGACCCGUCUUGA